UCAGUCGACUCCUACGGGGAGGCAGCAUGGGGGAAUAUUGCACAAUGGGGGAAACCCUGAUGCAGCCAUGCCGCGUGUGUGAAGAAGGCCUUCGGGUGUAAAGCACUUUCAGUAGGGAGGAAGGUAGUGUAGUUAACACCUGCAUAUUUGACGUUACCUACAGAAGAAGCACCGGCUAACUCCGUGCCAGCAGCCGCGGUAAUACGGAGGGUGCGAGCGUUAAUCGGAAUUACUGGGCGUAAAGCGCAUGCAGGCGGCCUGUUAAGUCAGAUGUGAAAGCCCGGGGCUUAACCUCGGAAUUGCAUUUGAAACUGGCAGGCUAGAGUCUUGUAGAGGGGGGUAGGAAUUUCAGGUGUAGCGGUGAAAUGCGUAGAGAUCUGAAGGAAUACCAGUGGCGAAGGCGGCCCCCUGGACAAAGACUGACGCUCAGAUGCGAAAGCGUGGGGAAGCAAACAGGAUUAGAUACCCUGGUAG
This 474-nucleotide ribosomal RNA is filed under the name uncultured bacterium. RNAcentral's name for it is "bacterial SSU rRNA". It matches the Rfam family "Bacterial small subunit ribosomal RNA", at positions 328 to 793 of the family's 1533-position model. The record is from RNAcentral.